UAUCGAGUUUUUGAAACGGGUUGUCGCUGGUCCCGUUCUUAACAGAGUCGGGACAUGGGCACACCUGGCUUCAUUCCACUCUUCAACCCCUGGGCACUUGUUGUAGGUUUUCAGGUCGGACGCGGGGCUUUUGACUUCAUCGUCGAGAGCCUCAAGGAAAGCCUGAGCCUAUGUUUUACCAUACACACGCUUCAGUUAUAGAAUGUAAACAUCGCGUAUAACGCAUUUUAAAUACAACUUUCAGCAACGGAUCUCUUGGCUCUCGCAUCGAUGAAGAACGCAGCGAAAUGCGAUAAGUAAUGUGAAUUGCAGAAUUCAGUGAAUCAUCGAAUCUUUGAACGCACCUUGCGCUCCUUGGUAUUCCGAGGAGCAUGCCUGUUUGAGUGUCAUGGAAUUCUCAACCUUUGAAAGCUUUUAUCGGUUCUCAAAGGCUUGGACUUGGAGGUCGUGUCGGCUCUGCAAAGAAUCGACUCCUCUGAAACGUAUCAGUGCGAACCUUUACGGAUCGUCUUCGGGUGAUAAACGUCUACGCCGUGGUCGUGAAGUAUGAUCGUGUCCGUGCUUCUAACCGUCUCCUUUGCGAGACAAAAACUGUGUUACUAUAAGUAACAUAGGCAUUGACAAUCUGACCUCAAAUCAGGUAGGACUACCCGCUGAACUUAAGCAUAUCAAUAAGCGGAGGAAAAGAAACUAACAAGGAUUCCCCUAGUAACUGCGAGUGAAGCGGGAAAAGCUCAAAUUUAAAAUCUGGCGGUCUUCGGCCGUCCGAGUUGUAGUCUGGAGAAGCGUCUUCCGCGUCGGACCGUGUACAAGUCUCUUGGAACAGAGCGUCAUAGAGGGUGAGAAUCCCGUCUUUGACACGGACUACCGAUGCUUUGUGAUGCGCUCUCAAGAGUCGAGUUGUUUGGGAAUGCAGCUCAAAAU
This 924-nucleotide ribosomal RNA is filed under the name Phlebia cf. tremellosa RG-2014. RNAcentral's name for it is "eukaryotic LSU rRNA". The stretch from base 627 to 924 matches the Rfam family "Eukaryotic large subunit ribosomal RNA", at positions 1 to 293 of the family's 3401-position model. Lineage: Eukaryota; Fungi; Basidiomycota; Agaricomycetes; Polyporales; Meruliaceae. The record is from RNAcentral.